This 253-nucleotide ribosomal RNA is filed under the name uncultured bacterium. RNAcentral's name for it is "partial 16S ribosomal RNA". It matches the Rfam family "Bacterial small subunit ribosomal RNA", at positions 524 to 776 of the family's 1533-position model. The record is from RNAcentral.
UACGUAGGGCGCAAGCGUUGUCCGGAAUUAUUGGGCGUAAAGAGCUCGUAGGCGGCCUGUUGCGUCCGCUGUGAAAUCCCGGGGCUCAACCCCGGGCCUGCAGUGGAUACGGGCUGGCUGGAGGCAGGCAGGGAAGAACGGAAUUCCUGGUGUAGCGGUGAAAUGCGCAGAUAUCAGGAGGAACACCGGUGGCGAAGGCGGGUCUCUGGGCAACAACUGACGCUGAGGAGCGAAAGCGUGGGGAGCGAACAGG